AAGAGGGUAUUUUUGAAGUUAAAGCCACGGCUGGUGAUACCCAUCUUGGUGGUGAAGAUUUUGAUAAUAGAAUGGUUAAUCAUUUUGUACAGGAGUUUAAGAGGAAGAAUAAGAAGGAUAUUAGUGGAAACCCUAGGGCUCUUAGGAGGUUGAGAACAGCUUGUGAGAGAGCGAAGAGAACUCUCUCAUCAACUGCCCAAACAACCAUUGAGAUUGAUUCUUUGUAUGAGGGUGUUGAUUUUUACACCACAAUUACUCGUGCUAGGUUUGAGGAGCUUAACAUGGAUUUGUUCAGGAAAUGUAUGGAGCCCGUGGAGAAGUGUUUGAGGGAUGCUAAGAUGGACAAGAGCACAGUUCAUGAUGUUGUUCUUGUUGGUGGUUCCACUAGGAUUCCUAAAGUUCAGCAGUUGUUGCAGGACUUCUUCAAUGGGAAGGAGCUUUGCAAGAGCAUCAACCCAGACGAGGCAGUUGCUUAUGGUGCUGCUGUCCAGGCAGCUAUUUUGAGCGGUGAAGGAAAUGAGAAGGUACAAGAUUUGUUACUUUUGGAUGUGACUCCAUUGUCUCAAGGUUUGGAGACUGCAGGAGGUGUCAUGACUGUAUUGAUUCCAAGGAACACUACAAUUCCAACGAAGAAGGAGCAAGUGUUCUCUACCUAUUCUGAUAACCAACCUGGUGUCUUGAUUCAAGUUUAUGAGGGUGAGAGAACAAGAACAAAGGACAACAACUUGUUGGGAAAAUUUGAGCUUUCUGGAAUUCCUCCAGCUCCCCGUGGUGUUCCUCAGAUCACUGUUUGCUUUGACAUUGAUGCAAACGGUAUCUUGAAUGUCUCUGCUGAAGACAAAACCACAGGGCAGAAGAACAAGAUUACCAUUACCAAUGACAAAGGGAGGUUGUCAAAGGAAGAAAUAGAGAAGAUGGUACAAGAAGCAGAGAAGUACAAGAGUGAAGAUGAGGACCACAAGAAGAAGGUAGAGGCAAAGAACUCGUUGGAGAACUAUGCCUACAACAUGAGAAACACAAUCAAAGAUGAUAAGAUCAGUUCAAAGCUUUCUGCAGGUGAUAAGAAAGUGAUUGAGGAUGCAAUUGAGGGGGCCAUUCAAUGGCUUGAUGCCAACCAGCUUGCUGAAGCGGAUGAAUUUGAAGACAAGAUGAAGGAGCUUGAGACAGUUUGCAAUCCUAUUAUUGCAAAAAUGUAUCAAGGUGGUGCUGGUGGUGAAGGUCCUGAAAUUGAUGAGGAUG
Molecule: long non-coding RNA, 1239 nt
Filed under: Lathyrus oleraceus (garden pea)
Lineage: Eukaryota; Viridiplantae; Streptophyta; Magnoliopsida; Fabales; Fabaceae
Description: Pisum sativum (pea) long non-coding RNA (PSAT_LNC012338)
Source: RNAcentral